AGUGAACGCUGGCGGUAGGCCUAACACAUGCAAGUCGAACGGCAGCACAGUAAGAGCUUGCUCUUACGGGUGGCGAGUGGCGGACGGGUGAGGAAUACAUCGGAAUCUACUUUUUCGUGGGGGAUAACGUAGGGAAACUUACGCUAAUACCGCAUACGACCUACGGGUGAAAGCAGGGGAUCUUCGGACCUUGUGCGAUUGAAUGAGCCGAUGUCGGAUUAGCUAGUUGGCGGGGUAAAGGCCCACCAAGGCGACGAUCCGUAGCUGGUCUGAGAGGAUGAUCAGCCACACUGGAACUGAGACACAGUCCAGACUCCUACGGGAGGCAGCAGUGGGGAAUAUUGGACAAUGGGCGCAAGCCUGAUCCAGCCAUACCGCGUGGGUGAAGAAGGCCUUCGGGUUGUAAAGCCCUUUUGUUGGGAAAGAAAAGCAGCAGGUUAAUACCCCGCUGUUCUGACGGUACCCAAAGAAUAAGCACCGGCUAACUUCGUG
RNAcentral lists this ribosomal RNA (492 nucleotides) under uncultured bacterium. RNAcentral's name for it is "partial 16S ribosomal RNA". It matches the Rfam family "Bacterial small subunit ribosomal RNA", at positions 29 to 507 of the family's 1533-position model. The record is from RNAcentral.